RNA transcript from Orcinus orca (killer whale), 1203 nucleotides. RefSeq lists it as uncharacterized. The record is from RefSeq and is a predicted model, not a curated record. Lineage: Eukaryota; Metazoa; Chordata; Mammalia; Artiodactyla; Delphinidae. The transcript has 2 exons.
UGGGCGGAACAACCUGUGUACCUUAUCCAGUGGUUCAGUGGACUUCUGGUCCAUGGGCUUGAUGCUGCUGUGACUUAAAUCAAUAUGUUAAUACAUUAAUGCUUUGUGAGGGUUUGCGUUUUCCAUUCAACCUCUAGCAGAGAUAAUUAGCCAGAGAGAGAGAGAGAGAGAGAGAGAGAGAGGACUUUAUAUAUAUAUGUAUAUAUACAUGUAUAUACAUGUAGAGAAAUAACUGAGGACAUGGAAGGAGACGUGACCCAUGAGUCCCCCCGGCAAGCUGGGUGCGUGCGAAAAAGCCAGAACUGCAAGCAGUCCUGAGUGCUUUGGGCACUGAUCCAUGAAAUGUCUUCAGUAUAUUCAGAAUAAUGGGAACAUAAGGAAAUGUCCUUGUGCUGCUUUUGCGGUUCAAGGACGAAGCACGGCACGUUCUUAAGAAAGCCCAUUGUUUAUUGUAUAAUCAGUAAAAGCAUAUCUGGCUGCUUUGGUAUUUCUGGAAUGUUAAGAAAACAAGUCUUAAGAUGUAAACUUAGAUAAUGCUUAAAUAAAAGUCACCACAGCAGAACGAGACGGCGCUGUCAUUGCCUGAGAGAGCAGCAGCCCUCUACUGUUGUGUUUCUGCACAAUUCAUCUCGUGUGAUGAGCUUACUUUCAGCCCUGACAUAAGAAACUACAACAUUUGGCGCCCGAACAGGGACCUGAAGUCCGACGACGAUUGCAAGCCACCCGCCAUGUAAUAUCGCAACAAGCUGCCGUGUUCUCCUUGAUGCUGCACAAGCUGCAAAACAAAAAGGGGGAAAUGUAGAGAAAUAACUGAGGACGUGGAAGGAGACGUGACCCAUGAGUCCCCCCGGCAAGCUGGGUGCGUGCGAAAAAGCCAGAACUGCAAGCAGUCCUGAGUGCUUUGGGCACUGAUCCAUGAAAUGUCCUCAGUAUAAUCAGAAUAAUGGGAACACAAGGAAAUGUCCUUGUGCUGCUUUUGCGGUUCAAGGACGAAGCACGGCAUGUUCUUAAGAAAGCCCAUUAUUUAUUGUAUAAUCAGUAAAAGCAUAUCUGGCUGCUUUGGUGUUUCUGGAAUGUUAAGAAAACAAGUCUUAAGAUGUAAACUUAGAUAAUGCUUAAAUAAAAGUCACCACAGCAGGACGAGACGGCGCUGUUAUUGCCUGAGAGAGCAGCAGCCCUCUACUGCUGUGUUUCUGCACAAUU